CGUCACUCCCGGCAACGAAUGAAACAGCAAAUGAAGGGUAAUUCAAAUCUGUGACGCUGUAUGUUUUGCUUGAAUCACACGUGAAGUUUCUUCUCGCUAAGCUGUUGAUUUGUGAUGGAGUGUAUUUCAAUGCACACAUGAAAUUGAGGUAAUCAUCGGCGUUUAUGUCGUAAACAAGACCUGGGUUCACUGCCGAAACGGGAUCCACGUGUCCAGCGCCGUGGUCGAAAGGUGUAGAUGGUUUUCCGGUGGCGACAUCUACUAGUGCUCCGCCGUUCUUGUAGACGGUGUAAGCGGAGGUCAUGAGCGCCGAACGAAUGGCGGCGGGGCUCCAUUCUGGGUGGACUCCUUUUAUCAAAGCCGCCAAGCCGCUCACGUGUGGACACGACAUGGAUGUGCCUGAGAUAAUGUUGAACUCGACCCGUCUAUCGUCCUCUGCCAUCCCCGUCGGGCCGACGGCUCCGGUCCAACCGGCCAGAAUGUUUACACCGGGCGCGAUAAUAUCCGGUUUGAGUAUCUCCGGGGUGAUUGAAUUUGGGCCUCUAGAACUGAACGCUGCGACAACCGGUGACGGUUCGAUGUCUACUUUUGUUCCUCCAAAAAGAAUUUCGGCCGUUGGAUUAGGAUCUGAGAAUAAAUAUUUCUUGAUUACAUCACCGGCUUUUUGACCCACCGCCGCCGCUGGAAGUAAAUGGGCGUCAGCCACUAGUUCCUCCCCAUUUGCUGCGGUGUUAGCCAAAACCAUGCCGGCUCCACCAGCCUCUUUUACCACAAAACCCUUUUGGACUCGAGCGCUAAUCCCUCUGUCACACAGCACAAUUUUUCCUUUAACUUUCUCAGGAAUUAAGGUACCCAUCAUACAGAGAUUUCCACUGGUUACAUUGCUGGCAUUACCAGCAUACACCAAGGGAAGCAUUUUAUUAAGUAAUGAAUCACCCGCGUAAAGUGAAACGCCGGAGAAAUUUUUACCAUUGCCAAGGCUUACAUAUGCUGGAAAAUCACGGUCAAUUGUUCCAGCACCGACUGUGGUGAUCCAAGGUGCUUGGUUGGCCAAACUGAAUUGAUUAGGUCCAGCAUUUCCAGCAGAGCAAGAAACCAAAAUACCCUUCUCCAUAGCAGCAAAAGCUCCAAUUGCAAUGCUAUCUUUGUAGUAAUCUGGUGUGCUUCCACCAAGUGAUAAUGAAAGCACAUCAACUUUAUCAUCAAUGGCUUUGUCCAUCCCUGCCAAUAUGUCAGAGUUAAAACAUCCCCCAAGCCAGCAAACUUUGUACAUGGCAACUCUGGCACGAUAGGCCAUUCCACGAGCAGUUCCUGAAGCAUAACCAAAAAGGCUAGCACCCUGAACAACUGAACCAGCUGCUGUCGAAGCAGUGUGUGUUCCAUGUCCAUCAUCAUCCCUAGGAGAUUUAGACUCCUUGGACUCAUCAAUUGGUCCAAGAGUAGUUUCAUAACCCCUAGAAAAAUACCUCGCUCCAACAAGCUUUCUGUUACACAUGGCAGAACUGAAGUUGUUGCUGGACUCACACUCACCUUUCCACGAAUCUGGUACAGGUCCAAAUCCAGUAUCGUCAAAGCUCUUUCUCUCCGGCCAAACCCCUGUAUCGAGUACUCCGACAAUGACAUCACUCAUAGCAUCGGACUCAGGAAAGAUAUUAACACUUCUAUCAAGUCCCAAAAAAAGAGGUGUCCGAGUAGUGUGGAGUUGGUAUAUCAGCUCAGGCAAAACAGAGAGAAUCCCAGGUUGGGUCUCUAAGGAUUCAGCUUGUCGAGCUGUAAGCCUUGCUGCAAAACCAUGAACAACGUUUUUAUAAACAUAGAUCAUCUCUGCUGAUUCAGAGACGGAUUUGAGGGACGCGUCAUACCAGUGAGUAUGAUCAUCAAAUAUUGCUGGCAUUUGUGAUUUAGCCAUGUGAAUGAUGUAUGUUUUCUUCUCCACCAUUGCCACAGACAUGUGACAUAGGCACACAAGUACAACAACUAGUAGUGUGUAUGUAGACAUUUUUGAUUAAUUUUUCGCUUGGACUGCUGCAUUAAUAAGAGGGAGUGGAUGAACAAGCAAUGAGAAACUUAAGGUAAUAUAUAUAGGAAAAUUAAAAGAGUGGGGCUAGAUGUUGAUGUUGUUUUCUUUUUAUGAAUGAUUGGAAACAGCCAGCCUAGCAGACCAAGUGAUAAAAUAAAGAUUAAAGAGUAAAAAAAGAAGGAUCACAUUUCUUAACGUAUGAAAUCAAAGAAUUUCAUUCUCCUUUCAUCACGUUAUCUUCCAGUCCGCCUUUUUAUCCACUUCUUUUUUUCUUUUCUAGUCAGUGAACCUCUUUUCACCUUCCACUUUACCAUUUGCUCAUUUGCACAAGAAAAGCUACAAAAAAGAAAAAAAAAACAGAAUCGCAAAAUUCUUCAAGUUGCCAUCCAAAUUUCAUUUUCUUUUUACCUACAUUAAUGGCCAUCCGCAAAGAUGGUGAGUACUCUUUUAUUCUCAAUCAUAGUUUCGCAAUGAGGAUAUGGAGCAAAGUAUUCCGUAGAUUUUUUAUUUUUUUUUACAGAUUUCAGUUGGUAGGGAAAUUCAUUGCUGAAGGACACUUCGAUUAAUAAAUGCUGUAGAUUUCAUGAAGAGGCUUGACGAUUUCCAACUUCCAAUAACUAUAAUAAUAAAGAUAAAAGGAGAAAUAAAUCUUUACCAUUAUGAACAAUAGUGGUUCACGGGUCCAUACAGAAAUGGAGUAGCUUUUAGUGUUAGGAGUAACAUUUAUUUGUGUGGAAAAAAAAAAGAAGAAGAAGGAGGAGGUAGAUGGUUGGUGAGAUGUUAAAUUAAUUCAAAUAUCCUAUUUUCUAACUAUUACCAUGUUUUGUUUUUCGAGUUUAAAUUAGAUAUACCAUCACUAAAUAUUUUAGUAUUUAUUUUCUUGUUGACUAAUUAAGACAAAAAUAAUUAUUGAAAUUCUGUUUUUUUGUAGUUGCUUUAUUCAAACAAGAACAGACAAGGUUCAACGUAGGUGCGGGGUCUAGUAAUUAAACAAAUCAAACAUUAUUUAAUGGUAGAUACCCUAAUUAUCGAUGAAAAACGAGAUAUUUUAAUUGUUUGUGAAUCCCGUGUCCCAAAAUUUGUACUAUUAUAUACUAUGAAAUAGAGGACUUGUAGUGUUUGAGACUACCUUUUCUAGUAGCCUUUGAACAUAUAAUAGAAUAAUUUUGAAAAUAAAGAUGUACCUUUCACAAUUAAAAUAAGGAAAUCAAAAGCUUUUAAGUUUUGUUUAUAGUUAGAGUAUGAUCUGGAAACAAGCAAGAGCAAGCUUAAUCCAAUUGCUGGCAAGAAUUAUACAAAUAUAUAUAAUGAUAUUAUUAGUUAAUAAAUGAACUACAAAAUGUACAAGUAAUCUUGUAUAUAUUUUUCUUGCUUCUUUCAAAUUAGGAAAAAGUACGUGUAAUGACAGUUGAAUAGUAUAAGACCUGGGAAUAUAUUUGCAAAUUAUCUAAUCGAGUCUUUCAUUAUUUGAAUGUGACAUUCUUGGGUGUAGGCUACAUACUUGCAUUCAUGGAUUUGCUGAUGAGAAUGAUAUUAUGUGUUAAUUGGGACGAAAUUUUAGGACUUCUUAUAUGAUCUGGACAAUUCUUCUCUCUUUGAUAUAGAAUUUAAGGUCGAUUAAUUUGAUUCGAGAUUAAUUUAACAUGUUAUUAAAGUCGAUUCAAUUGAGUGUGAUGUGGGGUCCACAAACCAAGUUGGGGUGGUGAUAUGAAUGAUCGCAUAUUAUAUUUGGAAGAGAUUGGUGAUUUUUCUUAUAUGAUUUUGAAUAAUUCUCUUUCUUGGAGCUAGCUUUUGAGAUUGAGUCCAAAAUUCAUUCUAACAUAUGUUCUAUCAUACGUGAUUUCUUACAUUGGGGCAAAAGCUUCAACAUGUAUAGAGUACAAAAUUUCUAGUCACUACAAAAAGACAUUUAGGGGGAAUAAAUAUUUCCUUAUAACGCAAAAAUAUUUAGCAAUAAUUAAGUUAAUGUUAUUACAUUUAAUGAGAGUAAAACCUUUAACAACAUUUAUAUAAACUGUUAGUUACAAUUAAUACCCACCCAAAUUUACUGUUACCAUUAAAUAUAAUAUAGCAAUAAUUAUAUUAUUACCAUAAAAUUCUUUAUUUGUUGAGGUAACCUUCUAUGAAACUUAAAACUUUCUUUCAUUGAAUGAAUAACUUCUAGUCCUAUAAUAUUUGUCAACAACACGGUAUAAACAGUAUAGAACAUUAUAAACCAUAUAGUAGAAUAUUAGUUGUCAUUUUACAACUGGUAAAUAACACUGUCAUGUGGAAUUUCAUUUACUUGUGGACUUAUGGUGUUGCCAGAUUGGCAAUGAUCGAGUUAAUGACUAUCAUAUACUUUCAAUGAAUUUCUUUUUUGCUGGUCCACUGUUGAUUUUUUUAAGUGGGGAUAUUUUGAAUAGGAUACAUGCUUCAUUAUAAAAUUAAAAAAAUGGCAACUAUUUCCUAAUAUUUUUAAAGACCAUCCAGUAUAAAAAUAAGUGUUAGGACGAAAUGAGCUGUAAGACAAAACAUGUGUGAUCAUCAAACUUAUGAUGAAUUUCUAUGUUUACCAGAGUGUAACCAGUUUAUGAGUUCGUCAAUUCAGUAACAAAUUGAUCAUUUGUUAGUGUUAAAAAUGAGCUCAAAUAUAGGUAACAUGAUCAAGUUAUACUAAAUUUCAAGGAUUAGGCUCAAGAUAAUUUGAGUUGAGUUCAAUCUCAAUUUAUUCACGUCUUAACCUAAAAGAAUCCUAAUUGGACCUAAUUUAACCUCCAAUUCUAAGUCCGUCGUAAAACUCUUUUUUUGCAUUGAUAUAAUAUGUGUUCCUAUUUUGAAGAUAUAAUUACUAUCUAUAUUUUAUCUUUUAGAAUUUACUUAUCCAUUUUUAAUUUUUUUAUAAAAAUAAAUAUAAAAAUAAAAUCUUGAGUUGAAAAUCAAUUGUGUCUAUAAAAGUUAAAUAAUAGUAUGUUAAAAUUAUUAACAUUAAGCAUGUCAAAUUGGACAAAUUAUAAUUCAAUUCAAUUUUUAACCAAUUAAGUCCAAAUAAAUUUAGAUGGUCAAGACUCGUUCUAAACUUCACCUCUAAUUUCUUGGAAGGAUUAUCAGGCUACCAUGCCCUUAAAGUCUAUAUGUGCCAGACUAGACUCUUAAAAUUAUGACAUAUUUUAUUUUCUUUAACAGAAUUUGUUUUGACGUAAAAAAAAAAUUUAUUUAUCUAACAAAAUAAAAAGCUUUAUAAGAUAUCAAUACAUAUUUCUAGAUAUUUGAUUUGAUAUGAAAUUAACUCGAGAUCAAUUUCUUUUUUAUUUGAGAGUAUUGACUAUACCCCAGUUCGGAGCUUCAUGCAUGUUAUUCAUUCCAAGUGACAUGUUCGGUCUGUAACCAGUGUGAAAUCUCGAAAGAAUCAAAGAUUCAUAUAUUUAUGCAUCUAUACAAGUAUAUAUGAAGCAUUAAGUGAUACUUGGCUGAAAAUAAUGUCAAAAGUAUAUGAGAUACAGCACCUAAAACCACACUCAGAUACAAUACUUGGUACGAAACAUCACUGCACUGUGAGCAAGAAGCAUAAAUUUCUUUGAUUAACUUUACAUUAAAUCGAUAGCAGCUAUAUAUAGCUCUUUAAUUUGUUCAUAUAAUUCAUGACCAAGAAAUUGCAACUGGACUAGUGACCAAAUGCGUCCCAUCUGACCACUCAAUUUUGCCGAAUACAUUGGUAGAUGGGGGCUUUGAUGGAGCAGUAAAACUCACACUAUACGAUAUCUUCUCAUUAAUCUGAGUAAAACUAACUGUUUCAGGUUCAACUAUAAUUUCCACGGAACUAUCGGGCAAAGUAACAGCAACUUUGUAUGUUCCAGACGGUCCAACAUUAGUCAGUGUCCGGCUGUAUCUGAUUGUGUUUGAACCGGUAUCGGCAGGGAAUGCAACUGAAAACGAAGGGUAAUUCAAAUCUGUGACGCUGUAUAUUUUGCUUGAAUCACAUGUGAAGUUUCUUCUUGCUAUGAUAUUGAUUUGUGAUGGACUGUAUUUCAAUGCACACAGGAAAUUGAGGUAAUCAUCGGCGUUUAUGUCGUAAACAAGACCUGGGUUCACCGCUGAAACGGGAUCCACGUGCCCAGCGCCGUGACCGAAAGGUGUAGAUGGUUUUCCGGUAGCUACGUCUAGUAGUGCUCCGCCGUU
RNAcentral lists this long non-coding RNA (6178 nucleotides) under Solanum lycopersicum (tomato). RNAcentral describes it as "long non-coding RNA (SLYC_LNC001244)". Lineage: Eukaryota; Viridiplantae; Streptophyta; Magnoliopsida; Solanales; Solanaceae. The record is from RNAcentral.